AUGGAACAUGUGCACAACGGGAGCCUUGCAUCUGCUGAAAACGUGGCACAGCAAACUAUAAGCUGUUCAGGACAAUCUUGGAGCAGAUCAUUCAGCCAGUGUGAGGGGAAGAAGAGCAGAGAGGAAGAAGAGCUGAGAAAGGUGGCCGUUAUUGAUAUAUUUGACAAAAUUUAUAUGAGUCAGAGAGAGAGAAAAUUGAAGUUAUAUUACAAGAAAGGAAGAAAUGGAGCAUUAUUAAGAAUUCUACUAUAUUAUUAAAAUAGAAAAACCCUAACAAAUAAAGGAGAAGAGGGAGAGAUUUCCGAAGACUUUGUGGUAUCUCACUGCCGUGUUAUGCAACUUAAAACCUGUCCAAAUAUACGAUCUGCCUGGCCGUGGAGUAGCUGAAUUCUUUCUUCUGGCUAUGUUACUGUGUUGGUUUAAAUCCCAGCAGGAAGAUUAAACCUUGUUGUUACCUUGUUCCACCUUUGGCCUGUCAUUCUCCUGCUGAAACCAUGCACCUGCCAGGAUGUAGAUGGUAUGGAAUUAAACAGUGGUAGAAACUCCACCCCUUUUCUCUCUGACCACAAUAGUUACUUUCAUAUUUCUA
Molecule: long non-coding RNA, 589 nt
Organism: Vidua chalybeata
Lineage: Eukaryota; Metazoa; Chordata; Aves; Passeriformes; Viduidae
Exons: 5
Source: RefSeq, a predicted model, not a curated record